Molecule: ribosomal RNA, 464 nt
Filed under: Vreelandella stevensii
Lineage: Bacteria; Pseudomonadati; Pseudomonadota; Gammaproteobacteria; Oceanospirillales; Halomonadaceae
Description: partial 16S ribosomal RNA
Rfam family: Bacterial small subunit ribosomal RNA
Source: RNAcentral
CCUAGGGAGGCUGCAGUGGGGAAUAUUGGACAAUGGGGGCAACCCUGAUCCAGCCAUGCCGCGUGUGUGAAGAAGGCCCUCGGGUUGUAAAGCACUUUCAGUGAGGAAGAACGCCUGGUGGUUAAUACCCAUCAGGAAAGACAUCACUCACAGAAGAAGCACCGGCUAACUCCGUGCCAGCAGCCGCGGUAAUACGGAGGGUGCGAGCGUUAAUCGGAAUUACUGGGCGUAAAGCGCGCGUAGGUGGCUUGAUAAGCCGGUUGUGAAAGCCCCGGGCUCAACCUGGGAACGGCAUCCGGAACUGUCAAGCUAGAGUGCAGGAGAGGAAGGUAGAAUUCCCGGUGUAGCGGUGAAAUGCGUAGAGAUCGGGAGGAAUACCAGUGGCGAAGGCGGCCUUCUGGACUGACACUGACACUGAGGUGCGAAAGCGUGGGUAGCAAACAGGAUUAGAUACCCGAGUAGUC